UACCUGACAAGACACCAAGAAAGAUAAGGUUUCUUGGACUUGCAGUUCCAAGAGAUACAGUUCAACAUGGCAGAGGAGGUACAGCAGGAGGGGCAGGAGGCAGCUGGUUACAUCACCUCCACUGUCAGAAAACAGCAACGAGUACCUAUACUCAGGUCAUUUUCUCCUGCCUAAUCAGUCCCAGAUUCAACCCAUGGAAUAGUACCGCUCCCAUUUAGGGUGGGCCUUCCCAUCCCCAGAAACCUAUGCCACAUCAUUCUUCACAGAUCUGCCCAGAGAUAUGGAGAAUCUAAAUCUCAUCGACAGCCAAGAGGACCAUCAUGCCUUCCAAAGGGAGCACUCACUGUCCUAGGCAUGGGCAGUGAAGAGAAGCAAAGACAUCAACUUUGAGAGACACAGAUUCCUCCUGGAUGUGGCCCUGUAGCAUCAGCCUGGGAUAUGGGGGAUAUGGCCUCCUGAGUCUGCAUUCGAGGUCUAGAUGGACAGAUAAAUGUACCAUCACUGAACAGAGGCUGAUGUUACAAGGAAGCACGGGCUCUGCAUUGACUCCCGGUGGCCCACUCACCAGUGAUGUGAUUUUGAGCAUGUCUCAAUUUUGUGUAUAACAUGAGAGUCGCUCUGGCAUAACUGGCAUGAUACAUGAAAAGCUGUUUGGUGGAACUGCCUUCUAAUUAUUUAUCCUUAUACCCAUA
Molecule: long non-coding RNA, 692 nt
Organism: Grammomys surdaster
Lineage: Eukaryota; Metazoa; Chordata; Mammalia; Rodentia; Muridae
Exons: 2
Source: RefSeq, a predicted model, not a curated record